This 493-nucleotide ribosomal RNA is filed under the name uncultured bacterium. Its description in RNAcentral is "partial 16S ribosomal RNA". It matches the Rfam family "Bacterial small subunit ribosomal RNA", at positions 28 to 507 of the family's 1533-position model. The record is from RNAcentral.
GACGAACGCUGGCGGCGUGCUUAACACAUGCAAGUCGAACGGAAAGGCCUGCUUUCCCUUGUGGAUUGCGGGUGCUCGAGUGGCGAACGGGUGAGUAACACGUGAGUGAUCUGCCCCCAACUUGGGUAUAAGCCUGGGAAACUGGGUCUAAUUCCCGAUAGGACUGCAGGGUGGUGCCUGUGGUGGAAAACGAUUUUCUAGUGGUUGGGGAUGAGCUCGCGGCCUAUCAGCUUGUUGGUGGGUAAUGGCCUACCAAGGCGGCGACGGGUAGCCGGCCUGAGAGGGUGGACGGCCACAUUGGGACUGAGAUACGGCCCAGACUCCUACGGGAGGCAGCAGUGGGGAAUAUUGCACAAUGGGCGGAAGCCUGAUGCAGCGACGCCGCGUGGGGGAUGACGGCCUUCGGGUUGUAAACUCCUUUCGACCGCGAGGAAGCCACCUGGUUGGAAGGGUGGUGACGGUAGUGGUAGAAGAAGCACCGGCUAACUACGUG